UACGGAGGGUGCAAGCGUUGCUCGGAAUUAUUGGGCGUAAAGGGUAGGUAGGUGGUCUCAUUUGUCUGGGGUGAAAUCCUUGAGCUUAACUCAAGAAGUGCCUCAGAAACGGUGAGACUAGAGUUCUGGAGAGGGUCGUGGAAUUCCCGGUGUAGCGGUGAAAUGCGUAGAGAUCGGGAGGAACACCAGAGGCGAAGGCGGCGACCUGGACAGAUACUGACACUCAACUACGAAAGCGUGGGGAGCAAACAGG
This 253-nucleotide ribosomal RNA is filed under the name uncultured bacterium. Its description in RNAcentral is "partial 16S ribosomal RNA". It matches the Rfam family "Bacterial small subunit ribosomal RNA", at positions 524 to 776 of the family's 1533-position model. The record is from RNAcentral.